This 277-nucleotide long non-coding RNA is filed under the name Manihot esculenta (cassava). RNAcentral describes it as "long non-coding RNA (MESC_LNC007706)". The record is from RNAcentral. Lineage: Eukaryota; Viridiplantae; Streptophyta; Magnoliopsida; Malpighiales; Euphorbiaceae.
UUCUCAAGUCAAAUGCUUGAAUCAAUCUUGCAAGAGUCAAGUGCAUCACUUGCAUAGCCAAGUUCAUCCCAGGACAAGAUCUUCUUCCUGCACUAAAUGGUAAAUACUCGAAGUGCUUACCUGUAAUGUCCAAAUUGGCAUUGGUUGUAAGAAAUCUUUCUGGAAUAAACUCCUCAGGAUCCGACCAAACAUUUGGAUCUCUAUGUAACUUCCACAAAUGUGUAAACAAACGAGUGCCUUUUGGGAUAAAGUAUCCUGAUAUGUAACAAUCUUCAGC